This 253-nucleotide ribosomal RNA is filed under the name uncultured bacterium. RNAcentral's name for it is "partial 16S ribosomal RNA". It matches the Rfam family "Bacterial small subunit ribosomal RNA", at positions 524 to 776 of the family's 1533-position model. The record is from RNAcentral.
UACGAAGGGGGCUAGCGUUGUUCGGAAUUACUGGGCGUAAAGCGCACGUAGGCGGACAUUUAAGUCAGGGGUGAAAUCCCGGGGCUCAACCCCGGAACUGCCUUUGAUACUGGGUGUCUGGAGUCCGGAAGAGGUGAGUGGAAUUCCGAGUGUAGAGGUGAAAUUCGUAGAUAUUCGGAGGAACACCAGUGGUGAAGGCGGCUCACUGGUCCGGUACUGACGCUGAGGUGCGAAAGCGUGGGGAGCAAACAGG